GCUCUUCUGGUGGAAAUGGUAUACACGUUGGUUUUAGGAGCCAAUGCUUUUUAGCUUGAGGGUUCAAAUCCCUCGAAGAGCA
RNAcentral lists this transfer RNA (82 nucleotides) under Ostreobium quekettii. Its description in RNAcentral is "tRNA-Leu". It matches the Rfam family "tRNA". Rfam says of the family: Transfer RNA (tRNA) molecules are approximately 80 nucleotides in length. Their secondary structure includes four short double-helical elements and three loops (D, anti-codon, and T loops). Further hydrogen bonds mediate the characteristic L-shaped molecular structure. tRNAs have two regions of fundamental functional importance: the anti-codon, which is responsible for specific mRNA codon recognition, and the 3' end, to which the tRNAs corresponding amino acid is attached (by aminoacyl-tRNA synthetases). tRNAs cope with the degeneracy of the genetic code in two manners: having more than one tRNA (with a specific anti-codon) for a particular amino acid; and 'wobble' base-pairing, i.e. permitting non-standard base-pairing at the 3rd anti-codon position. Lineage: Eukaryota; Viridiplantae; Chlorophyta; Ulvophyceae; Bryopsidales; Ostreobiaceae. The record is from RNAcentral. RNAcentral also lists the same sequence under 1 other name.